Molecule: long non-coding RNA, 428 nt
Filed under: Solanum tuberosum (potato)
Lineage: Eukaryota; Viridiplantae; Streptophyta; Magnoliopsida; Solanales; Solanaceae
Description: long non-coding RNA (STUB_LNC005286)
Source: RNAcentral
UUUGGAGUGAGUUGAGCAGAGACAACAUCAAAGAAAGAAGACUCUCUGUUGGAAAAUGUCACACAUCCACUUGAUCUAAGACCAGAAAAUUCAGCUACUUCAAAUUUCUGCACAAACAAAGCAUGAGAAUUCAGAAAGACCAUAAUUUCUUAAACAUAUUAGCUAUGUUGAUCGGACUCUUCAAAAAUGUCAACGAUUGUCUGUGAUCUUUCAAAAGUAGUGCAUUUUUGGAGGAUCUGACACGAGUGAGGCAGUAUUUUUGGAAAGUCCGAACAACAUAGCAUCUUAGUACUAUCAAACAUACACUGGGAAGGAAAGGAAAGAAACCUUGGAUAAACAUUGUGUGGGGAAUGAGUAGGAGUUCUUAUUGGAAGGAAGCCUUGUGCUUGUAGGAAUUCUUGAAGAAGCCAAAGCUGCAUGAGAAGCCA